GUGGGGAAUAUUGGACAAUGGGCGCAAGCCUGAUCCAGCCAUGCCGCGUGAGUGAUGAAGGCCCUAGGGUUGUAAAGCUCUUUCACCGGUGAAGAUAAUGACGGUAACCGGAGAAGAAGCCCCGGCUAACUUCGUGCCAGCAGCCGCGGUAAUACGAAGGGGGCUAGCGUUGUUCGGAAUUACUGGGCGUAAAGCGCACGUAGGCGGACAUUUAAGUCAAGGGUGAAAUCCCAGAGCUCAACUCUGGAACUGCCUUUGAUACUGGGUGUCUUGAGUAUGGAAGAGGUAAGUGGAAUUCCGAGUGUAGAGGUGAAAUUCGUAGAUAUUCGGAGGAACACCGGUGGCGAAGGCGGCCAACUGGUCCAUUACUGACGCUGAGGUGCGAAAGCGUGGGGAGCAAACAGGAUUAGAAACCCCAGUAGUCC
This 425-nucleotide ribosomal RNA is filed under the name uncultured bacterium. Its description in RNAcentral is "partial 16S ribosomal RNA". It matches the Rfam family "Bacterial small subunit ribosomal RNA", at positions 354 to 796 of the family's 1533-position model. The record is from RNAcentral.